Molecule: ribosomal RNA, 252 nt
Filed under: uncultured Bacteroidales bacterium
Lineage: Bacteria; Pseudomonadati; Bacteroidota; Bacteroidia; Bacteroidales
Description: partial 16S ribosomal RNA
Rfam family: Bacterial small subunit ribosomal RNA
Source: RNAcentral
UACGGAGGAUGCGAGCGUUAUCCGGAUUUAUUGGGUUUAAAGGGUGCGCAGGCGGUCUGUUAAGUCAGCGGUCAAAGCCCGGGGCUCAACCCCGGCCCGCCGUUGAAACUGUCGGACUAGAGACGGCGAGAAGUACGCGGAAUGCGCGGUGUAGCGGUGAAAUGCAUAGAUAUCGCGCAGAACUCCGAUUGCGAAGGCAGCGUACCGGCGCCGGACUGACGCUGAGGCACGAAAGCGUGGGUAUCAAACAGG